GUGGGUAUAGCUCAUAGGCAGAGUGUGUGCUUAGCGUGCUCGAGGUCCCGGGUUCAAUCCCUAGUACCUCCA
Molecule: transfer RNA, 72 nt
Filed under: Camelus dromedarius (Arabian camel)
Lineage: Eukaryota; Metazoa; Chordata; Mammalia; Artiodactyla; Camelidae
Also listed under: 1 other name
Rfam family: tRNA
About the family: Transfer RNA (tRNA) molecules are approximately 80 nucleotides in length. Their secondary structure includes four short double-helical elements and three loops (D, anti-codon, and T loops).
Source: Rfam by way of RNAcentral